AUUGAACGCUGGCGGCAUGCUUUACACAUGCAAGUCGAACGGUAACAGGCCGCAAGGUGCUGACGAGUGGCGAACGGGUGAGUAAUGCAUCGGAACGUGCCCAGUCGUGGGGGAUAACUACUCGAAAGAGUAGCUAAUACCGCAUACGAUCUAUGGAUGAAAGCGGGGGACCGUAAGGCCUCGCGCGAUUGGAGCGGCCGAUGUCAGAUUAGGUAGUUGGUGGGGUAAAGGCUCACCAAGCCAACGAUCUGUAGCUGGUCUGAGAGGACGACCAGCCACACUGGGACUGAGACACGGCCCAGACUCCUACGGGAGGCAGCAGUGGGGAAUUUUGGACAAUGGGCGCAAGCCUGAUCCAGCAAUGCCGCGUGCAGGAAGAAGGCCUUCGGGUUGUAAACUGCGUUUGUACGGAACGAAACGGCUCUGGUUAAUACCCGGGGCUAAUGACGGUACCGUAAGAAUAAGCACCGGCUAACUACGUG
This 482-nucleotide ribosomal RNA is filed under the name uncultured bacterium. RNAcentral describes it as "partial 16S ribosomal RNA". It matches the Rfam family "Bacterial small subunit ribosomal RNA", at positions 30 to 507 of the family's 1533-position model. The record is from RNAcentral.